Molecule: ribosomal RNA, 160 nt
Filed under: uncultured Enterovibrio sp.
Lineage: Bacteria; Pseudomonadati; Pseudomonadota; Gammaproteobacteria; Vibrionales; Vibrionaceae
Description: partial 16S ribosomal RNA
Rfam family: Bacterial small subunit ribosomal RNA
Source: RNAcentral
UGGGGAAUAUUGCACAAUGGGCGCAAGCCUGAUGCAGCCAUGCCGCGUGUGUGAAGAAGGCCUUCGGGUUGUAAAGCACUUUCAGCAGUGAGGAAGGUUUCGUAGUUAAUAACUGCGUUGCUUGACGUUAGCUGCACAAGAAGCACCGGCUAACUCCGUG